RNAcentral lists this ribosomal RNA (561 nucleotides) under Kodamaea ohmeri. RNAcentral's name for it is "partial large subunit ribosomal RNA". It matches the Rfam family "Eukaryotic large subunit ribosomal RNA", at positions 24 to 677 of the family's 3401-position model. Lineage: Eukaryota; Fungi; Ascomycota; Pichiomycetes; Serinales; Debaryomycetaceae. The record is from RNAcentral.
GCCGGACCAACUUUUGCAUAUCAAUAAGCUGAGGAAAAGAAACCAACAGGGAUUGCCUCAGUAACGGCGAGUGAAGCGGCAAAAGCUCAAAUUUGAAAUCCCCCCGGGGAGUUGUAAUUUGAAGAUUGCGUCUUGGAGGCGACCGUGUCUAUGUUCCUUGGAACAGGACGUCACAGAGGGUGAGAAUCCCGUGCGGCACGGCCCCCGGCUCCUUAUAAGGCGCUCUCGACGAGUCGAGUUGUUUGGGAAUGCAGCUCAAAGUGGGUGGUAAAUUCCAUCUAAAGCUAAAUACAGGCGAGAGACCGAUAGCGAACAAGUACAGUGAUGGAAAGAUGAAAAGCACUUUGAAAAGAGAGUGAAACAGCACGUGAAAUUGUUGAAAGGGAAGGGCAUGCCGUCAGAUUGUCAGUGUGGGUAAGAAGCGGGGUACAAAGACUGUGGAACGUGGCCCUCGGGUGUUAUAGCCGCAGUUCAUGCCCCGUCUCUUUCCGAGGCCUGCUUUGAGGACACCGACGUAAUGACGGUACGCCGCCCGUCUUGAACCACGGACCAAAAAAGGGA